UAUGGUGUAGCUCAGUGUUAGAAUGUGUGCUUAGUGUGCUCUCAGUCCUGAGUUCCAUCCCCAGCACCAAAA
Molecule: transfer RNA, 72 nt
Filed under: Marmota monax (woodchuck)
Lineage: Eukaryota; Metazoa; Chordata; Mammalia; Rodentia; Sciuridae
Description: tRNA.Thr
Source: RNAcentral